GCCCUUGGGGCCACACCACAGACAGGGUGACUAAGCGCCCCUUCCCUGCUGUUCCUGACUGGUGGAGAGAGUGGAAGGCAAGCGGUGAUAAGCCCUCAGGGCCCCACCUACCAGGCCCUGCAAGGAACUGAUAGGCCAUGCCCAAGGCUGCCCAACAGCAGGCAUCUUAGCCUGAGGGUCGAGGAGUCAGCCCUCCACCUGGGCUGCAGGCUGCUGGUCGGCCCGAGGGGACCUGGGCUCCCGCUACCCUUGCUGGAGAGGAAGCAGCCGGAGCCCCAGCAGCUGGCCUGUCUCACCUUGCACCUCUUGACUCUGCUGCCGCCUCGUCCCCCCCGGGGAAAAGGCCUGCCCCUCUGGCUCUGGGGCACAGUUGAUAUGAGCCUGACCCCAGAACGAGCCAGCCCCCGCCCCCCUGGCAGCAGGGCCUAAGUGGAGUCGUGGUAACAGGUGGACCUUGGGCAGUGCCCCGCCCCACACACUAAAUUUAACCAGCAGCUGACCCCAGCCUUCCCUCGGCGCUGCCGACACCCCUCCAACCAGAUGCUCGGGUGGGCAGGCCCCGUGCACACUGGGCCAACCGGGUCCCAGGCAGGUAGGCAGUGGCCCAGGCCCAUGCCACCCAGCAACUGCCGUGAACAGAUGAGCUGGCAGCGCCCUCAGCCCUACCACGUGAGGACCCUGAGGGGCCCCUCCCUGUCACCCUGACCCACCAUGCCCAACCAGCUCAGAGCCUCCUAACUGGCCAACUGCUGGCCCCCUUUGCCAACCCAGGCGGAAGCUGGCAGCCAGGCCCCAGGAUCAGGGCUGCAUGCCAGGAACAGGCGGCCCGCCCCCAUCGCCACCCCCACGGAGGUUCUGAGGCUUCGGGCCAGUGUGUCCUCCUGGCUCUGGCCCAACAGCCUUGUGGAAAACACUCCCCCUUUCCCAGCCAGGAUCCCUGCCCCCCAAGGAGUGUCCUUGCAAACUCCCUGCUGUCCUCAGGAAAACACAGAGUCACAGAGGGGCAGCCAAGAGGCUGGGGGGGCCACAAUCCCACACAGGGGCUGGGCUGCCAUGAGCGAGCCCCGGCCUGCACCUCCGGGCUUCAGGCAGGUGCUCGCAAGGACAGACACCCCAGGACCGGCAACAUGACAGCUCCCCACCGCGGGGAUGGUGGCCCGGCCGACAGACAACAAGGCAGGUGGCAGAACAGCCCUUUAUCAACAGUCAGCAUGAACUGGUCUCGCAGCCAAGCCGCUCAGGAGAUGCCAUCCACCUCGUCAUUUUAUAGAAGAGAUUCUGAUGCCUACAUUCUACAGAAAACAACCUAAAACAGCAACCAGCUUUUCAAACUGAGUACAUGCUACCCUUGGCUUACGCACCCUGAAGGCCAUCUGUGAAAGUCCACCACACAGCAGGACCCAGAGCCUCAACACGCCUCUCCACCGGCCCUGCCCUCUGGCUGCAGCGGGAAGAGAGGGACCCCAGUGCCCUGGGCAGUGCACAGAGAAGAAGCCAGUGUCCUGGCCUGGGCUGUGGCAGCUCACGAGGGUCCUCAGCCCCCGGCUCUAGUGGGUCCGCCUUCCGGAGGCCCCGGCUGCCUCGGGGCAGUCUCCGUCACCGCGGGCAGCCCUGACUGCCUCUUCUGUACCCAAGCUGAUCCUGAGGGGGCCCAGGGAGGCCCAGAGACCUGCUGCAGGGGGCACCGCCAUCUGGCAGAGCCUCCGUUGAGGGGGCGCUACAGUGUCUUGUGCCCGGCUCCUCCCAGGCUGAGCCUUGAACUUCCAAGCCCCCAGCCCCCUGGAUCUUCCUGUUGCCCCCCAGAGCCUCACUCAGUCACCUCCUCCCAGCCACUCAGCCCAGGAACAGUCCACCAGAGCUAGAAGACUUGCCCUUUGGCUGAGCCAGGAAGGACAAGGCGUUCAGUGGAGUCUGUCCGAAUGGCCACCACACCACACCCAGAACAAGGCGGGCUGAGCAGGGCAGCUCUGCCUUGGUGCACGAAUCUGCCCCAAGCCUCCCUGGAAUAUCAAACAGAUAACCUGGCAGUUUUUCCCAGGUCUUGGCUCCGUGCCCAAGCAAGCUGCAUGGAGUGUGGAACUGAGGUCAGGACAGACCCCAGGAAGGACCGCAGCAACUAUGCAGUACUGGACACCUGGCCCUGGGGACAGGAACCCAUGCCCAGAUCCCAUCCAGGCCCGGACAGAGCCAUGCUGGCCUGAGGGUCUCAGCAGCCUUCCAUAAUGCCUGCCACAGCUCUCCGCCAGUAGGUCCCAUCAUUACCCCCAUUUUCCAUAUGGGGAAGCUGAGGCCAUACCUGGACCUGGGUCCUGUGACCCACUUCACAACACUACCUCUCAUGUCCACCUCAGCAUCUGUGUGAGAAUCAGAGAUGGUGUGGCAGAAGCCCAGAGCCUGCGAGGAGCGCCGGGAGCAUAUUGGGACAUCUGAAUGGAAAGGGUGAAGCAAAACAACUUCUACAAAGAUGACACCAAAAGCACAGUCCAUAAACGACAAAUUAGAACUAAUUGAAAUUAAGAGUUUUUCUCUGCUAAAGACCCUGUGAAGAAAGCAAAAAGACUGUAUGUAGUACAUAUUUGUAAACUAGAGCCCCAACCAAAACUUCUGCCCAGCAAACAUAGAGAACCCUCAAAACUCAGGGUUUAGAAGAAAAUAAUCUAAUUAGAAAAUGGACAAAAGACAUGAAUAGACAUUUCACUGAAGAGGAUGUACAGCUGGCAAAAAAGCCCAUGAAAAGAUGCUCAACAGUGUUAGCCAUUAGGAAAAUGCAAACUAUUCCACAGUGAGAGACCACUGCACACCCAUCAGAAUGGCAAGGACCUGAAGAAAAUAGGUCUCACACACAGAUGGCAGGAAAGUACAUGGUACAGCCAGUCUGGAAAACAGUUUGGCAGUUUCUUUAAAAAGCUGACACAUGUUUACAAUACGAUGCAGCAGCUGCAUUCUUGGACAUUCAUCCCAGAGAAAUGAAAGUUCAAGUUCACAUAAAAACCUACACAUGAAUUUCACAGCAAUUUUAUUCAUAAUAGCCCCAAACUGGAAACAGCCCAAAUGUCAUUCAAUGGGUGAAUGGUUAACUAAACUCUGGUACACUCACACAAUGGAACACUCCUUGGCAAAAAAAAAAAAGGAAACAAUUAUGGACACGUGCACCCUGGGUGGCUCUCAUCUCUAACAGUCACACAUGGUGUGACUCCAUUUAGACAACAUUCUUGAAACGGUAACAGUUUAGGCAUGGGGGGCAGGGCCCUUCUAAGACCCUGCUGCCCCGAGGAGGUGGCCAUUCCUUGCCAUGGAGCUGUUCUACACCCUGACUGCAGUGGUCACACAAAUCUGUAUGUGUGAUAAGACCACUUGUGCACACACACUCACGUGCAUGGAAAACUGAAAUCUGAAAAGGUCAGUGGAGUGUGUCAAUGUCAAUGUCCCAGAAGAGAUUCUGUACUACAGUUAUAGACCUCCAGGGGGCUGGGGCAUUUUGCAAGGGGUCUCUCUAAAUGAUUUCUUAUAACUGUUAUGUGAAUCUACAAUGAUCUCAAAGUUUAAAAAUCCAAAGAGUGAAAAGGCAAGCCAUAGAGUGGGAAAUGGUACUGGCAAUACACAGCAAUUGACAUGAAAAGAACUACUCAACAGCACAAGGAAAUGGGUCAAAGAAUAGCCACUUCACAUCAAUAAACACACAGGAAGGCACUCCACGUCCUCUGUCACCAGGGAAACACAUGAAACUCUACACACACUAGUGCAGUCCCAAUGUGACAGAGGCCAGGUGACGGGGAAGGUGUAGAGCCACAGGGACCACCUCGUACUGCCAUGGGGCUGUCCGCAGACCCCAUGUCCUCCACUGUUCAUCCCACUUCAGGUGCUGCCCCCACAGGAAUGUGUUGAGAUCCUUAACUGAACCUGUUCCAGGGGACACUGCUAUGGAGGGCAUUCUCAGAACAACUGGCCAACUGGGUCCUGGGCUGUGUACCCAAGUGGUGAUGUCAGGCUCCUUGAGGCUCUGCUCUGUGCUCAUGACGCAGGCACUAAUGGAGACCCACCAGGAUCACUCGGGAGUAGAACAGGUCAGCUGUCACAUGACCAUUGCCUGGCACAGCGUCAGAACGUUGUUUCAGAGACGAGCCCUAUCAGGCUGGUGGGAUGACUAUUCUGCUUAUAGAAGAGGGCAGAGGGAGAGGGGUGCCCACCCAGCUCCUCAGGGCCACAUCUCUCUGUCCUUUCUCUUCUUUUUUUUUGUAUAUAUAAGGUGAAGGAUGUAUUAACUAACUUUACUAUGAUAAACAUUUCAUAAUAUAUACAUGUGUCAUAACAUUUACACCUUAAACUUAUACAAUGUUAUUUGUCUUUUUAAUCUCAAGAAAGCUGGAAAAAAGUUCUAAAUUUUGAUUAAGUCCAAGGUAUCAUUUUUUUUCCUGUUAUGAUUAGUAUUUUUGUGUCCUUACUGCGAAAUAUAUUAUCUAUUCCAAGGACACAAAGAUAUUCUUUUAUAAUUUUUCUAUUCCAUAUGGUUUUAGCUUUUAUAUUUAGGGCUGUGAUUCAAAUCAAAUUAUUUUUU
Long non-coding RNA from Manis pentadactyla (Chinese pangolin), 4555 nucleotides. RefSeq lists it as uncharacterized. The record is from RefSeq and is a predicted model, not a curated record. The transcript is spliced from 4 exons. Lineage: Eukaryota; Metazoa; Chordata; Mammalia; Pholidota; Manidae.